GAUGAACGCUGGCGGCGUGCCUAAUGCAUGCAAGUCGAGCGAACAGAUAAGGAGCUUGCUCCUUUGACGUUAGCGGCGGACGGGUGAGUAACACGUGGAUAACCUACCUAUAAGACUGGGAUAACUUCGGGAAACCGGAGCUAAUACCGGAUAACAUAUUGAACCGCAUGGUUCAAUAGUGAAAGGCGGCUUUGCUGUCACUUAUAGAUGGAUCCGCGCCGUAUUAGCUAGUUGGUAAGGUAACGGCUUACCAAGGCAACGAUACGUAGCCGACCUGAGAGGGUGAUCGGCCACACUGGAACUGAGACACGGUCCAGACUCCUACGGGAGGCAGCAGUAGGGAAUCUUCCGCAAUGGGCGAAAGCCUGACGGAGCAACGCCGCGUGAGUGAUGAAGGUCUUCGGAUCGUAAAACUCUGUUAUCAGGGAAGAACAAAUGUGUAAGUAACUGUGCACAUCUUGACGGUACCUGAUCAGAAAGCCACGGCUAACUACGUG
RNAcentral lists this ribosomal RNA (497 nucleotides) under uncultured bacterium. RNAcentral's name for it is "partial 16S ribosomal RNA". It matches the Rfam family "Bacterial small subunit ribosomal RNA", at positions 28 to 507 of the family's 1533-position model. The record is from RNAcentral.